AUGUAAUUCAAAGUGCUAGGAAAUCACUUAUAAGAUUGUCGUACAGAGCUUUGUGGACGUAUCUGAGAGACGAAAGACAGAAGUCCUCAUAGAAAGAGGAGAGAAUGGAAACUUACAGAAAGAAGUGUCCACAGGUACUUUUCAUCUUCUCAAAUUGAGCUGCUGUCGACCUGUGUCCUUCUCUCCAGCUUCUGGCAACUGCCAUCCUGUUUUCCACCUCUAGGAAUUUGUCUUCUCUGGGUUCCGCAUCUAAGUGGAGUCAGUUUCUGAGUUGUGAGCCACAGAGGUUAAAGCGAUGCUGUUGGGAAACAUGGGCUAUCACCUCAAAUUGAGCCAAACCUUCAGAGACGCUUUCGCAAAGGACAGACACCUAAGAGUCACCGACCACGGGCAGCUGAAAACCUAAUGUCACAUCAUUUCGGGUUCUUUUCAUCUAUUUAAGAUCCAAACCCCAAGGAGAACACCUCGUUGUUCUAGAGUAUCUUAAUCUGUUCUCAGCUUGACAGUAAAAGUAUCCCAUUCGGGGGCAGACACCAACCUUCUGGAGGUCAAAUUGGAUGUCAGUGUGUUUCCAAUAAUCAGGAAAACAGAGAUUG
This 596-nucleotide long non-coding RNA is filed under the name Rattus norvegicus (Norway rat). RNAcentral's name for it is "long non-coding RNA NONRATT027663". Lineage: Eukaryota; Metazoa; Chordata; Mammalia; Rodentia; Muridae. The record is from RNAcentral.